CCUACGGGAGGCUGCAGUCGAGAAUCAUUCACAAUGGGGGAAACCCUGAUGGUGCGACGCCGCGUGGGGGAAUGAAGGUCUUCGGAUUGUAAACCCCUGUCAUGUGGGAGCAAAUUAAAAAGAUAGUACCACAAGAGGAAGAGACGGCUAACUCUGUGCCAGCAGCCGCGGUAAUACAGAGGUCUCAAGCGUUGUUCGGAAUCACUGGGCGUAAAGCGUGCGUAGGCUGUUUCGUAAGUCGUGUGUGAACGGUGCGGGCUCAACCCGCGGACGGCACAUGAUACUGCGAGACUAGAGUAAUGGAGGGGGAACCGGAAGUCUCGGUGUAGCAGUGAAAUGCGUAGAUAUCGAGAGGAACACUCGUGGCGAAGGCGGGUUCCUGGACAUUAACUGACGCUGAGGCACGAAGGCCAGGGGAGCGAAAGGGAUUAGAUACCCCGGUAGUC
This 446-nucleotide ribosomal RNA is filed under the name uncultured bacterium. RNAcentral describes it as "partial 16S ribosomal RNA". It matches the Rfam family "Bacterial small subunit ribosomal RNA", at positions 338 to 795 of the family's 1533-position model. The record is from RNAcentral.